This 433-nucleotide ribosomal RNA is filed under the name uncultured bacterium. RNAcentral's name for it is "partial 16S ribosomal RNA". It matches the Rfam family "Bacterial small subunit ribosomal RNA", at positions 29 to 507 of the family's 1533-position model. The record is from RNAcentral.
AACGAACGCUGGCGGCAGGCUUAACACAUGCAAGUCGAGCGAGACCUUCGGGUCUAGCGGCGGACGGGUGAGUAACGCGUGGGAACGUGCCCUUCUCUACGGAAUAGCCCCGGGAAACUGGGAGUAAUACCGUAUACGCCCUUUGGGGGAAAGAUUUAUCGGAGAAGGAUCGGCCCGCGUUGGAUUAGGUAGUUGGUGGGGUAAUGGCCCACCAAGCCGACGAUCCAUAGCUGGUUUGAGAGGAUGAUCAGCCACACUGGGACUGAGACACGGCCCAGACUCCUACGGGAGGCAGCAGUGGGGAAUCUUAGACAAUGGGGGCAACCCUGAUCUAGCCAUGCCGCGUGAGUGAUGAAGGCCUUAGGGUUGUAAAGCUCUUUCAGCUGGGAAGAUAAUGACGGUACCAGCAGAGGAAGCCCCGGCUAACUCCGUG